Xyrichtys novacula (pearly razorfish) is the source of this 7246-nucleotide non-coding RNA. The record is from the annotation of a GenBank genome assembly. Lineage: Eukaryota; Metazoa; Chordata; Actinopteri; Labriformes; Labridae.
UUUGGGAAGGGCAAUGCAAAAUCCCCUACAGGUAUACAGAGAUGCUUUGAGACUUGAGAGAAGGAGGAAGAGGAGGAGGAAGAGGAGGAGGGGGAGGCUGGGGUGAUGGUGUCAAAUCUUGGCCAUCAGCAAUAUUUGGUGUAGCUGGGAUCAGUGAGAGGUAGAUGAGUUUAAAUAGACCACCUGAGUGUAAGAAUCCUGGGCUGUGAUUGGUUUGUGGGUGAUUGGAGAUUCAGAUUUUCGGUUUUCGCUUCUUCUUCGUUUGUUGAAAUUUGGCUACUAUGAACAUGAAAUAUUACUCUAUGCUUAUUCUGAGCACAAUGUCAAUCUGUCAUUGUUUUAAAAUGAUGGUUAUGCUCCUCUCUUGCUCCUCUCCCUGCUUUCCUCUCCCUCUUCCUGCUCCCCUCCCUGCUCUCCUCUCCUCUCCUCCUGCUCCCUCCUCUCCUUCUCCUGCUCCUCUCCCUGCUCUCAGAUUUCUUCUUUCUUUCAUCACUCUGAUAAAAAAAGAGGUUCUGUCUUAAAUCCUGUCCCCUGUCUUUGCUCUGACUUGUCCUCUUCUUAUCAACAACUCUGAACAUUGUUGCUGUAUGGCUUGAAAAGUGUUUCUCUACAGAUAGAGAAAAAAUUGUUUAACAAUUUCUUGUCAGACAGUUAUGCUUCCCGCCCACACAUACACCUGCACCUGCCACUGUCAGCCAUGCCACAUGAUUGAUUGUGGGCUGCAUAUCAUUUUAUUGACUCUUACAGAUUUUACUGAUAAAAAGUGUCGCUUGUUCUUUUUUGCUUUGAGGACUUUGUAAGGCAUGCCUGCUCCCACCAUGACUUGCAAACCUCACCAUCUGGCAGGGACACAUUUCAGCAGCAGCCUGAGAACGUGCCAAAUUACAUUUAGUUUUGAGUAAACUACUUCUCGUGCUGCUACAAGCUGCCGUUUUCUCACUGUUGGGAUAACGCUAAUCACCUGUGAUUACUUAGCAUAAGGUGGGCUGCGUUGUGUUUUAUAACUCAUGUCAGUUUAGUGUGACAUGACCAGACUUUAUAGUGAUUUCUAGGAACAGGAAAAAGGAGUCUACUGUGUGAUCUCAGAGCGUGAUGAAUUAAUGUAGGUUAACAUACAUCCGCUUAAUUCCUCAGUCUGCCAAGAAAUGCUCGAUUAACAAAGCCUUCAAGAUGCCUCAGCUGCCAUUAGACAACACAACAAUAUCCUAUUCAGCCCUGCAACAGCUGCAUCACCUUUCAUUGUCUAUUAAAGAAUGCACACUACAGCACCAAGGUUACAUCAGUCAUGCUGUAUAAACUUUAUCCACCUGCAUUUUGUGCCCGCUCCUUCGCCUCCUUCUGUCUCCCUCUCCCUCCUCUCCUCUCUGCCUCCAUCAGCCAUUGGUAUUCUCAUUUGAAAGGAAGAGAACAGAGCGGGAAAGAAUAAGCAUGGGGAUGCAAGGACGCGUGGCGGAGAGAAUACUAAGCACCAAUGGGUGUUAAACACAAAGCCCCCGCGCAAACGCUGGUGCACACACAAACAUGCACGCUGGCAUGCACACUCAGAGGUGUAUAUAAGCACACAUAACUCGGCAGCACACAAGCACGCACACAUGAACACAAAAGCUCUGGUGGGUAUUAGUGGACCCCUUGGUGCAGGUUGAAUAGAAUGUAUUUGUACCUCAGGCUUAAACAGGGAGGAUUAUGGGGGAUACGAGGGGAAUGCUAAAGCUAGGAGGGAGGCCAACGACCUUGGUAUGGACUAAAAUGGAGGGAGGAGUAAAGGGGCUGGUUUGUUGUUGGCGAGUCAUUCGAAAUUGCUGCAAACAUGAGUGUUGAAAACAAUAAUGGCCUCGUGUGGUUGCUAAUGUGUGUGUGUAUGUGUGGAGAUAACCACAGUGUUGUCGUCAUCAACGAAAUCUGGUUGUGAAGAGUUUCAUCUUCCUAAAAAUGAUGCAACAUGUUUGCAAAUGAUGAGCUCUUGCUCACUUGAGAUUAGCAUUGAUGAUCCGUUUUGUGCCUUUUUUCCACUUAGACUUGAGGGUGUGAGAGUGUAUGUGUGUAUGUGUGUGUGUGUGUGUGUGUGUGUGUGUGUGUGUGUGUGUGUGUGUGUGUGUGUGUGUAUCUAUGCACCACUACUUUCCCAUUUUGCAUGUGUUUCUCUUUGCCCAAUUGCAUGGAAACAGGGGAAUGUAUCAUAUACUAGUUAUGAGAGGCAUGACAGAAUGCAUAAUUUAUUUUCAUUUGGGCUCCUGUAGUCGCUACAGCGUGUGUGUGUGUGUGUGUCUGUGUGCGUGCGCCUGUGUAGCUACCAAUGGGAAUCUGGCUUUUCUUGGUCUAAAUUCUAGUGUGCAUGCAUGUGUGUGUGCGUGUGUGUGUGUGAAAGGAGAGAAAGUUGGCACGUCUGUGUAAUAACCUGGGAUUGGAUGUGUCAGGUCAUUUCUACAAGUGUUAAAAAAAAGCAGCGAGGAGAGACAAGCAAUCUGAUGAGUGUAGCUGCAUCUCAGCUCAUCAGUGGGGGGUGGAGGUGGAAGAGGGCGUUGGAGGAAUCACCAAUGUAGUGGUGGUUAACUCUGACAGAUUGAAAUAAGAUAAAGGAUGGGUGAGGAAAGGAUGGAGAAAGGGGUGGAUGACGGACAGAGUGAGGAUAAAUAUAAGACAAAGCAUGGAGGUGAGAAGGGUAAGAGAUUAUGAAAAAAUUAUAGGAGAACAGAGGAAUGGAGAGAAGUAUCGUAGGAGAGAUUAAUGAAGGUGAAGAGCAGAGUGAAGGACAGCAGUUGAAGAGGGAUGGAAGAAUGUGUGGAGGAACGGUUGAUAAAGGCUCAAGCAGGAGGGAUGAAGAGGUGUUUGGAAGAGACGCAUGCUUGAAGAGGGAGGAUUGAAGGACAACCUUGUGUAAACUGGCAAAAGGCUUCAGUUAAAGAGUGUCUUUAUCUCCAACUCGGCCUCUGUAUCUAAAGCAGCUCUGUGCCUCUUUCAGGAUUAACAUUUCAAUGUAUCCAUCCCUUCUAACAAAACCUGUCUAUAGUAGACCAACAUGACUUACAUCAGGGUCUGAGUGUACCAGCUGGGUGUUAAAGGGAUAUAGAGGGUUAGACACCCCUUCGAGAGAUGAAUUUUGCCUACUGCUUGCUUCUCUAGUUAUACCAACUUUUGUAACGACCGCACGAUAGCAAUACACAGUGGUCGAUGUCUCCAGCGCAAACCUCAACCAAAAAGCCACUCUAUUUUCUGUUGACUGUUACUACAAUAUCGCUAAAGCGUUCUAACACAAAAACAAUAACAACAAAAACGGUAAUAAUAAAAAUAAUAAGUGAGUGCACAGAAUGCAGUGGAAAAUUUAUGAUUAUUACUUAUUGGAAAUGCAAUCAGACCGAGACUCUAAGGCAGAAGAACUUCCGGGUCUGCAAUGCACAGACAAGAUACACAAGAACUCUGAUUGCAUUUGCAUGAAGUAAUAAUAAUAAAUGUUCUUCCUUGAGCUGCGAAACUCCGCUACACUCGGUGAUCUACUGUAUGUCUAAGAAUUUCUCAUAAGAGAUAAAUACAUGAACUCAUAGGGCACUAUUCAGACAGCGAAAAGUACAUGGAGCACACAGCAGCACUUGAUCUAUCAGCACCAUAGGCCUGUAAAAUGUCUCUAUUUAUCACAGGUGUACAUGUACAUGGAUGUCUGUCUGGUGAGUCAUACCACCAAGAUUACAAACAUAAUCUAGAUUACUUCACAUACCAAAGAUCAUAGCCUUUGCCAAUAAAAUCUGGUAUGUGUUUUUGCAGAAGCAGUGAUCAGACUAACCCUUCUUGAUUUUGACAACCAUAAUCCUAGUCAGUCCAUACUUGAGUCAAAGCACACUUCAACAUGAAAUAUGGAAAUAGUCCCCCAAGAUGCCUGAUAUGAUGUUGACAAGACUGAGUUGCAUAAGAAGAGGUAUGGAGGGGCUAAAAAAAAAGUGGUACUUUGGCACUCUGGUGACAGUAUUUAACUUCAGCUUCGCAGCCUCAGUUCUGAGUCACACUGCUAGGCUUCUGUAUCAGAUCAUGAGGUAAAAAUAACAACCCAAACCGAACAACUAAUCUGAUGACAACUCUCUCCUUUCCCACUAAACAAACUAUCUGCGCUGCUCUCUGCUCUGCUGACGUGGAGGCGAUUCAGCAGUAAAAAGUCAUGCUGUGUGCUACAAGCAGCUGCUGUUAGCUCUCCUCUGAAGUUUGAAGAAAGUCCUAGUCUUUGAUUUACAGAAGACUACAAAGGGUGUGUGUUCUCAAUAGACAUCAGGUAUAGCAUUUAAAGUGAGAUCUCCAAAUCCUUCUGUCUGCUAAUAUUCUGUAGACUGUUAAACAAGAAAAGCAACUUAUAACACUGACACAAUCCUAAACUGACUACUCUGACGAAGAGUCCUUAGUGCAACAAAAUUAGAGCAUAAUCUGAUUGAGUUUGUAAGAGCAGAGUAACAGACAGGGUCUGAAAAAGAAGAAAACUCAACCCGAGCAAUUUCCUUCAAGGGUGUCAGGCUAAGAGUCUCGCUUUUAUGUCUUAAUUGCCUUUGGCCUUUCCAGCUCCAGGAUGAAAAAAGUACCAGUUCUCCCCUUGUGUAUCUGCUGACAUGUGUAUCAUGUGGCCAGCACCAGUAAAAUAUCAGUGUAAUGUUCUAUAUUUCUACAGUCAGUGAAAAGAUAUCAUGAAAUAAUUAUGAUUUUCACAGCACACAUUUCUUGAAUCUUCCAGCUCUGCUGCUGCUCAUGUCCUCUUUGUGCCCUUUUAGAGCCGGGCAGACGCUGCUGUUUUCUGUGGAUUCAGAUAUUCCGUUGUUUCUCUGAACCGUAGAGACUUGGGAAUUCAAGUUAAUUUGAUGUUACUCUCUGGUGAAAAUAGGCAAGCUGGCGUGAUGUAAUUCCCGCAAAAGCACAGCAUCACUUAGUGUGCUAUUGUUAAUGCAUUUCAGGUGCUGUAAUGAGUCACUAAGAGAAACUGUGAUGUGGAGAGGAUGAGGAAGGGUACUGGAAGCCUGUGAGAAGUCCCAAGUUCAGGUAUGACAGGGGAUCAUGUAUAGGCACAGCUGAACUGCAUACUGGACUGUGUUGGCACAGAUUUGAUUAUUACACAACCUGUCUUAAUUUACGGAUAAUUCCUCAUUCAACUAAACUAGAGGAAAUUGCAGAGUCAUCAUGUUAAGUUGAGUCCCAUUGCCCGAAUUGUGGCUUAUGGGAAAUGGGUGGCGGUUCAACACGUACCAGAACUACAUACCAACAUUUUCAAAUAUGUAACAAUCAAUGAAAACCUAGCAUAUGUUGAAAACAAGGCAGUGUGAGGUAUUUUAUAUUUGAAACAACUGAUAUAGAUGCUUAGGAGAUAAGAUAAGCCACUACGAGAAACCAACUUAUUUCUAUUUCUGUUAUAUCACCGGAAGUUUCUCCCAUAAUAAUAAUAGAAGCGCCCUCACAAAUUAGGUGGAUACAAAAAGGGGUACACAUCCAGCCACACCGUCAAGAGGUUGAUUAAUAAAAGGUUAUGUAUGCCGUCAGUUGCUCUGAAUGAGGUGGCCAACUGCCCGUACAAGCAAACAGCUAGGCUCCACAGCAAGCGCUAACUGCUAGCCAGAGAGCAGCAGGCAGAGACGAAGAUAGACCACCAUACAAAGCUUAUGAAACACCACAAAUUAGCAGACAACAGCAGGCUGAAACCGGGAGACAAAGCAGCGGCGUCCUUUGUCAGCUGAUGUUGACGUCAGACACAGCGAAGGUAAUUACUGUCAUUUAGCAGAUUUCACCCUCAACCGCAGCAAACACCCGUGCACACAAGGAGGGGAGGAUAAAGAGAGAGACCCAGGCAGCUACCCGCAUCUCACCACCAUAAACGGGAGCUAAAUACGCACACGCCAAGGGCACGCCAGUCGCUCUGUUACAGCUUUACACCUGACCCGGAAGUGAUUCAGAUGGGAGCGCAAAAGGACUGGGGGAGAGUUGCGGCCUCAAUACUUGGCCUUCUGUGCUGCUACAUUUCUCCUCAAUGAAAAAAUGCAAGUGGAGGGUGACGCAUGGAAGCAGUUUAAGGGAACUGAGAUGUGACCAGUCUUGAAGGCCACCAUCCCUUCACUGACGCAAGAGGUGAGCAGAGGAGUGUUUCAGUCUAGAAUAUGACCAUUGGGUUUCGCCACCUUCAGCACACCUUUAAGGUUUUACUGCAAAGCUCCGAUAUGAUUGCACUCAGCUUAAUCACAUCAACUCCCUAAAUAAUUCCAGUUCUCCCUCCUCCGCUGUUGCAGAGAAACUUUCCAGGAGAGAAAAAUUAAGCUGCAAACGAUUCUGCUGCAGAAAGUUGUAGUGCAGGUUUCCAAGCCAGAUGGAUAGUUAAUUAAACUGACAAAAGUGGUUUAUCUUUAAGAACAGAUUCUGCAUGAACAAGGAAUACACAGGCAAAUUAUGAGAUUUAGGUGUUGUGAAUAUUCUGGUUUCUGUUAUCUGGGUAGUGUCAUCCACCGGGAUUUUAACAGGCUUCGGCUGCAUGAAGGAAAACAGUCCAACUGAAAGGUGAAAGGGUCAGAGUGCAAAUGCAGAAACCCUUCCAAAAGACGUCAUAAUUUCCUAAGCAGCCACUAUGUGGUUGCUAUGUGGGUUGCUAAGGACGCUAUGGCAUAGUUUCUGUAGACUUAGGCCAGAGGACUCUACUGCAACUAUAGAUUAUAUACAGCCUAAUAUCACUGAGCAAGUUAUGAAAAAUGAUUAAAAGCGUACAUGUUUGUAAAGGUUGAAAAUGUGAACACACAAACUUACCGUAUCUAUCGACUAAACUACUGUCUCCAACUGUGUGUCUGACACGUGUCCUUUCCUCCUGACAGGUGUUGAGUACACAACCCUCUAACAGACAUUUCCGAGCAUCUCUGGACUCCUAACUGCUGCAGGGCGGUGUAAAUCUCAGCAUGGGUUUGAAAACCGUCCUACUAACUCUGAGUAUUCUUCCAGUCCAGCCAUAAUACUAGCUGCUUUUACUUUUUCAGCAAUCUGGAGCUUCACUUCUGGGUUACAAAACCUGUGCCAGUCAGAGAUGGUACAAUUGGAUAAACUUAGUCGUUAUCUAAUUGUUCCAUUUUGAAUCUGAACACAAAAUGGAGAAUCUGGAACACGAGUUUUCAUCCCUUUUUACAAUUAUGUUUGGGAAACAAGUUUCAGAAAUAAUAUUUUUGGUUUAUUUUGAUAAAGAAGUGAACUAAUAUCACACAGAUUCAUCUCAAACAAGUCUCUGUCAUGUCGUUUUCUUGCUGUUCAAUCU